UUGAAAGGGAAACGAUUGAAGUCAGUCGUACCGACGAGAAAUCAACUUAUCGUGUGCGAACUUGUGGGCGUGCGUGAGUUUCGGCCUCGCUGUUUGCAUGUUUGUGCGUUUUGGGUGUACUUUUUCGUAUGGUAGGCCAACGUCAGUUUCGAUUAUCAUAAAAUGACCGGCGGAAUGUAGCUUCGAUUUCGGUUGAAGUGUUAUAGCCUCUGGUAGAUGUGGUGAUUGAGACUGAGGAUUGCAACGAAUACCCUUUGGGCUAUCCGUCUGGCCUCUGAAAGUUGCUCAGGUGCCGAAAGCGUGCUUACGGUUAUCUAAGAUAACGUUCAACAGGUUAGAACGUGAUUACAUUCGUUAAGGAUGUUGACGUA
Molecule: ribosomal RNA, 371 nt
Filed under: uncultured fungus
Lineage: Eukaryota; Fungi
Also listed under: 1 other name
Description: LSU rRNA
Source: RNAcentral